CCAGCUUCUCCUGUGCCUGGAGGAAUAUUCCAGAACAUUACAUCAGAGAAUGGAAGAUCCAUUGUCCAGAAUGACGAGGUCAAUAAAGUUCACUGACCCACCCAACCUACAGAGAAGAUUUGCCAACUCCUGGGAAGAACCAACCAAAGUCAGUCAGUGAACUGAAAUCACCUGGCCUCUUACCUGCUUUAUGACAUUCUCUACUUGGUUAUAGUCUUGGGACACAUCAACUGAGAUACACAGCACCACCUGUUCAGAAGAAGAAAAAGGGGGGAACGGGAUCAGGACCUGCAAGACAGCUCCCAGGUAUAUAUGAGUCCGUACCUUCUGGUUUCUGACUGGCCUGCAUCCUACUCAUGUCAAAUAACUUCAUCUUUUAAAAAGCAGCCUAAAAUAUAUCUUAACUGGGAAAAUGAUAAAUGCCUUCAGUGGUCUAGUCGCAGUGGAAGUGACCUCCUUCCUCCCCUUUAAACAACUGUGUCAAUCAGGAAAGAAAACGCAGGCCCCACAUUACCUGUUUGUCGUUAAUGGAGUACUUUUCAAUCUCUUUCUUCGCCUGCAGUAGCUUGUCCUAGAAGCAAUACAGAAAUAAUUACGUCUGUCUGCAUUUGUUAAAAGGAAAAGAAAACACAGCAUCUGAACAGACACUGCAUUCUAUAAAACAGAACCGUAGGCUUGAGGAAGAAAGCGGCAAAAUAUAUGAAGUUACAGGUAAGUCACAGAAGGGGUUCAGUCCGUUGCAGAGAGAUGGAAGAAAAAGAAACCAAGCUCAUAUCUCUUAGCCACAUUCACGCUUACAAGCGAGCAGCGUGUCAACAUUUUCAUUCCCAUAGUUAGCAGUGACACAGAGUAACACACAGCGACAAAAUGCUCUGGAAAGCUAAAGGUAUGCGGCCGAUUCCACACCAGGAGGUCUUUAUGAGAUGUUAUCAGCACUUAACUCUCUUCCAUAUAACCUCAAGUAAAACUGAAUCACUUCUUACAAAGUACUAGAUAGUCUACAUCUGGCUACUUUCAAAAUUACUCCUCAGACUUGCAAAGCUACUCAGAUAAUUGCGAAGUUUUCCCACGUCCUCCAUUUUGUUUCGCUUAUUCAUAAAAACGGAUCUGUGUUUACAGAACCUUAAUUUUUCAUGAAUUUAAAGAAAAGAGAACUGUAGAAGAACCAAGGAGAAGGUGCCAGCACGCCUGAAGUGCUGGGUUCAAUCCCCAGAAAGGCUAAAACCAAGCCUGAAGGAACGCAGGCAUCUGGCAAGGACAUCCUCUGCUACAGAGUUCCAGGUUAGCUCAUGAUACUCCAGACCUUGUCUCAUAGAGGGGUGGGGGUGGGCCGGCAGGUAUCUUCAAAGGACAAGUAGAAUUUACAAACACGAAUACCCAUGACAAAACAGUGCAUUGCUAUUGAAUGAUGGGGAAUGAAUUCAGACUUUGCCAAUAAAAAACUGCAAUAAAAAGUUACGUGAGAAACUAAAA
Non-coding RNA from Rattus norvegicus (Norway rat), 1473 nucleotides. NCBI's taxonomy places the organism in Eukaryota, Metazoa, Chordata, Mammalia, Rodentia, Muridae. The record is from RefSeq and is a predicted model, not a curated record.